RNAcentral lists this ribosomal RNA (426 nucleotides) under uncultured Pseudomonadaceae bacterium. Its description in RNAcentral is "bacterial SSU rRNA". It matches the Rfam family "Bacterial small subunit ribosomal RNA", at positions 356 to 774 of the family's 1533-position model. Lineage: Bacteria; Pseudomonadati; Pseudomonadota; Gammaproteobacteria; Pseudomonadales; Pseudomonadaceae. The record is from RNAcentral.
GGGGAAUAUUGGACAAUGGGCGCAAGCCUGAUCCAGCCAUGCCGCGUGGGUGAAGAAGGCCUUCGGGUUGUAAAGCCCUUUUGUUGGGAAAGAAAAGCAACCGGCCAAUACCCGGUUGUGUUGACGUUACCAACAGAAUAAGCACUGGCUAACUUCGUGCCAGCAGCCGCGGUAAUACGAAGGGUGCAAGCGUUAAUCGGAAUUACUGGGCGUAAAGCGCGCGUAGGUGGUUCGUUAAGUUGGAUGUGAAAGCCCCGGGCUCAACCUGGGAACUGCAUCCAUAACUGCCUGACUAGAGUACGGUAGAGGGUGGUGGAAUUUCCUGUGUAGCGGUGAAAUGCGUAGAUAUAGGAAGGAACACCAGUGGCGAAGGCGACCACCUGGACUGAUACUGACACUGAGGUGCGAAAGCGUGGGGAGCAAACA